GCGAGGUGGAGCAAAUCUCGAAAAAACGUCUCAGUUCGGAUUGUAGGCUGCAACCCGCCUACAUGAAGUCGGAAUUGCUAGUAAUCGUGGAUCAGCAUGCCACGGUGAAUACGUUCCCGGGCCUUGUACACACCGCCCGUCAAACCAUGAGAGUUGGCAACACCCGAAGCCUGUAGCUUAACCGCAAGGAUGGCGCAGUCGAAGGUGGGGUCGAUGAUUAGGGUUAAGUCGUAACAAGGUAUC
RNAcentral lists this ribosomal RNA (243 nucleotides) under uncultured bacterium. RNAcentral's name for it is "partial 16S ribosomal RNA". It matches the Rfam family "Bacterial small subunit ribosomal RNA", at positions 1257 to 1500 of the family's 1533-position model. The record is from RNAcentral.